RNAcentral lists this ribosomal RNA (474 nucleotides) under uncultured organism. RNAcentral describes it as "bacterial SSU rRNA". It matches the Rfam family "Bacterial small subunit ribosomal RNA", at positions 29 to 507 of the family's 1533-position model. The record is from RNAcentral.
AUUGAACGCUGGCGGCAUGCCUAACACAUGCAAGUCGAACGGGGCACUUCGGUGCCUAGUGGCGGACGGGUGAGUAAGGCGUAGGAAUCUGCCUUGCGGUGGGGGACAACCUGGGGAAACUCAGGCUAAUACCGCAUACGCUCGCGAGAGGAAAGCGGGGGAUCUUCGGACCUCGCGCCGGAAGAAGAGCCUACGUCCGAUUAGCUAGUUGGUAGGGUAAAAGCCUACCAAGGCGACGAUCGGUAGCUGGUCUGAGAGGAUGAUCAGCCACACUGGGACUGAGACACGGCCCAGACUCCUACGGGAGGCAGCAGUGGGGAAUAUUGGACAAUGGGCGCAAGCCUGAUCCAGCAAUGCCGCGUGGGUGAAGAAGGCCUGCGGGUUGUAAAGCCCUUUAAGUGGGGAGGAAUGGUCGGGUGCAAACAGUGCCUGACUUUGACGUUACCCACAGAAUAAGCACCGGCUAACUCCGUG